RNAcentral lists this long non-coding RNA (233 nucleotides) under Elaeis guineensis (African oil palm). RNAcentral describes it as "long non-coding RNA (EGUI_LNC061735)". Lineage: Eukaryota; Viridiplantae; Streptophyta; Magnoliopsida; Arecales; Arecaceae. The record is from RNAcentral.
GGUGUGGCAACUAUUAGAUGGCACCACAUAACCUUGUGGGGCACCAUAACCAAGAGUCCAAGCUUGGUUGGACUCUACACGCGCAAGAGAUGUAGGGUGUGUGCAUUUUGGCAUGAGGAGAAGGAAGAGUCCUUCUGCCUUGGAUUUAAGAUGUGUGUGGUAGCCCACAUCAUCUUUUAUUCUCUAUCACACAUCUUAAAGUAUAAGUGGAGUUUUCUAGAUUUUUUAAGGUG